Molecule: unclassified non-coding RNA, 346 nt
Filed under: soil metagenome
Description: partial contains 5.8S ribosomal RNA, internal transcribed spacer 2, and large subunit ribosomal RNA
Rfam family: 5.8S ribosomal RNA (bases 1-120)
Source: RNAcentral
GAUGAAGAACGCAGCGAAAUGCGAUACGUAAUGUGAAUUGCAGAAUUCAGUGAAUCAUCGAGUCUUUGAACGCACAUUGCGCCCCCUGGUAUUCCGGGGGGCAUGCCUGUCCGAGCGUCAUUGCUGCCCUCAAGCCCGGCUUGUGUGUUGGGUCUCGUCCCCCUUCCCGGGGGGACGGGCCCGAAAGGCAGCGGCGGCACCGCGUCCGGUCCUCGAGCGUAUGGGGCUUUGUCACCCGCUCUGUAGGCCCGGCCGGCGCUUGCCGAUCAAACAAAACUUUUUUCCAGGUUGACCUCGGAUCAGGUAGGGAUACCCGCUGAACUUAAGCAUAUCAAUAAGCGGAGGA